Molecule: long non-coding RNA, 488 nt
Filed under: Lathyrus oleraceus (garden pea)
Lineage: Eukaryota; Viridiplantae; Streptophyta; Magnoliopsida; Fabales; Fabaceae
Description: Pisum sativum (pea) long non-coding RNA (PSAT_LNC026939)
Source: RNAcentral
CUUUUCGACAAAAAAAUUGACAACUUGAGUUUACAUCUAAAAGGAAUAUGAAAUGUACUUGCGAUUAAUACACAUUCCCUAUGCUGAACAAGCCAAAACUUCAAUCUUUGUCAUAUCUAUGGACAUUCUCAUUUGAUGGCUCAGAUGAAACGGUGUCCCAUUUCACAUUUGGUGAUACUACGCUCGCAUAUCAUUUUCACGUAACUGACAUGUAAACUCUGCAUAUCCAUAUGAACUAUAAAUUUGAAACAAGAAGUUUAAUAAUGGGUGAACAGCUAAUUUUUCUCCUGUUUCUCUUUGUCAUUGCUUACUCCUAUUUUGCUCAAGAGUUAGUUGUCUGUUAUUCAAUUAAUUAAUCAAUCCUCCUCUAAGCCUAGGAAUUCUCUCUUACUAGUAUACUUUAAUGUUGAAGGGAUUGUUAUAGGAUUCUCAGAAGUGGCAUAAUGAUUUUCAGUCUACAUAAUCAUGACUUUGGUCUCAUCAAUGAG